CUUGUCUCAAAGAUUAAGCCAUGCAUGUCUAAGUAUAAGCAACUAUACUGUGAAACUGCGAAUGGCUCAUUAAAUCAGUUAUCGUUUAUUUGAUAGUGCCCUUUACUACUUGGAUAACCGUGGUAAUUCUAGAGCUAAUACAUGCAUAAAGCCCCGACAGGGGUGUAUUUAUUAGAUAAAAAACCAAUGCCCUCCGGGGCUGCUUGGUGAAUCAUAAUAACGCAACGAAUCGCAUGGCCUUGCGCCGGCGAUGGUUCAUUCAAAUUUCUGCCCUAUCAACUUUCGAUUGUAGUUUAGUGGACUACAAUGGUUUCAACGGGUAACGGGGAAUUAGGGUUCGACUCCGGAGAGGGAGCCUGAGAAACGGCUACCACAUCCAAGGAAGGCAGCAGGCGCGCAAAUUACCCAAUCCCGACACGGGGAGGUAGUGACAAUAAAUACUGAUACAGGGCUCUUUUGGGUCUUGUAAUUGGAAUGAGUACAAUUUAAAUCCCUUAACGAGGAACAAUUGGAGGGCAAGUCUGG
RNAcentral lists this ribosomal RNA (525 nucleotides) under Verruconis hainanensis. RNAcentral's name for it is "SSU rRNA". It matches the Rfam family "Eukaryotic small subunit ribosomal RNA", at positions 31 to 564 of the family's 1831-position model. Lineage: Eukaryota; Fungi; Ascomycota; Dothideomycetes; Venturiales; Sympoventuriaceae. The record is from RNAcentral.